UUAAUUGAAACCAAAUUAGAGGUAAUUCAUUGUUAAUGAUAUAAUUGAAUUUAAUUCCAAUUAAA
Molecule: transfer RNA, 65 nt
Filed under: Pselaphinae sp. 6 EF-2015
Lineage: Eukaryota; Metazoa; Arthropoda; Insecta; Coleoptera; Staphylinidae
Description: tRNA-Asn
Source: RNAcentral